AACGAACGCUGGCGGCAUGCCUAACACAUGCAAGUCGAACGAAGCCUUCGGGCUUAGUGGCGCACGGGUGCGUAACACGUGGGAAUCUGCCCUUCGGUUCGGAAUAACAGUUAGAAAUGACUGCUAAUACCGGAUGAUGACGUAAGUCCAAAGAUUUAUCGCCGAAGGAUGAGCCCGCGUAGGAUUAGGUAGUUGGUAGGGUAAUGGCCUACCAAGCCGACGAUCCUUAGCUGGUCCGAGAGGAUGAUCAGCCACACUGGGACUGAGACACGGCCCAGACUCCUACGGAGGCAGCAGUGGGGAA
RNAcentral lists this ribosomal RNA (304 nucleotides) under uncultured bacterium. RNAcentral's name for it is "bacterial SSU rRNA". It matches the Rfam family "Bacterial small subunit ribosomal RNA", at positions 29 to 361 of the family's 1533-position model. The record is from RNAcentral.